RNAcentral lists this ribosomal RNA (253 nucleotides) under uncultured bacterium. RNAcentral's name for it is "partial 16S ribosomal RNA". It matches the Rfam family "Bacterial small subunit ribosomal RNA", at positions 524 to 776 of the family's 1533-position model. The record is from RNAcentral.
UACAGAGGUCUCAAGCGUUGUUCGGAUUCAUUGGGCGUAAAGGGUGCGUAGGCGGCGCGGUAAGUCGGGUGUGAAAUCUCGGAGCUUAACUCCGAAACUGCAUUCGAUACUGCCGUGCUUGAGGACUGGAGAGGAGACUGGAAUUUACGGUGUAGCAGUGAAAUGCGUAGAGAUCGUAAGGAAGACCAGUGGCGAAGGCGGGUCUCUGGACAGUUCCUGACGCUGAGGCACGAAGGCCAGGGGAGCAAACGGG